RNAcentral lists this ribosomal RNA (561 nucleotides) under Curvularia sp. SZMC 13058. RNAcentral's name for it is "eukaryotic LSU rRNA". The stretch from base 194 to 347 matches the Rfam family "5.8S ribosomal RNA". Lineage: Eukaryota; Fungi; Ascomycota; Dothideomycetes; Pleosporales; Pleosporaceae. The record is from RNAcentral.
UCCGUAGGGUGAACCUGCGGAGGGAUCAUUACACAAUAAAAUACGAAGGCCGUUCGCGGCUGGACUAUUUAUUACCCUUGUCUUUUGCGCACUUGUUGUUUCCUGGGCGGGUUCGCUCGCCACCAGGACCACAAUAUAAACCUUUUUUAUGCAGUUGCAAUCAGCGUCAGUAUAACAAAUGUAAAUCAUUUACAACUUUCAACAACGGAUCUCUUGGUUCUGGCAUCGAUGAAGAACGCAGCGAAAUGCGAUACGUAGUGUGAAUUGCAGAAUUCAGUGAAUCAUCGAAUCUUUGAACGCACAUUGCGCCCUUUGGUAUUCCAAAGGGCAUGCCUGUUCGAGCGUCAUUUGUACCCUCAAGCUUUGCUUGGUGUUGGGCGUUUUUGUCUUUGGCCCGCCAAAGACUCGCCUUAAAAUGAUUGGCAGCCGGCCUACUGGUUUCGCAGCGCAGCACAUUUUUGCGCUUGCAAUCAGCAAAAGAGGACGGCAAUCCAUCAAGACUCCUUCUCACGUUUGACCUCGGAUCAGGUAGGGAUACCCGCUGAACUUAAGCAUAUCAUA